UCACAAACCUGGAGAUGAAGGCAUUCCGUGAUAGACCCUGAACCCCGUGGACUUUUGAGACUAUCGCAGCACAGACAGCCCUUGUACAGGUUCUGCUCCAACCGACAGCUGGCAAUCCUUCUACACUGUGGCUAACUACGCAUUGUGCAGGGAUAUGGGGACCAAAAGACAAGUCGAUCCUUAUGUCAUCUGGAAGACUGAAUUCAAACCUGAACAACCACUGCUUGAAUGGACAGCUGCUAGCAAGCCAUGUAGGUCCUCUGCCCCUCAGUUACCCUUCAAUGAGAGACUGCAAUGAUGCCUACCUGAGUGGCUUGAGAGUUCCCACUCCUUGCCAUUGAAAAAAGAAAAGAAAAGAAAAAGUCGCUGCCUUAGAAGGAGGUGCUGGAAUUUUGGCAAAUUCUGUUUAAAGAAAUCAAUGAGAAACGGACGUGACCAAGAGCUUUCGGGUGGGUUACCUCCAGCCUUGGGUAAUGUACGCCCCGUGUCACCCGGUCAGAGAUCUCUUGGUGAACAGAUGUGCAUCUAUUUCCCUUCCAUGUUCUAUCAAAACCAAGGAGACAUAACAACAGCAACAACAGCAUAAUAAAAUAAUAAAAGAAAGAAUCCUUCUUGUCUAGUCUUUCCAGGGUGGCCAGGCAAAGUGUGA
RNAcentral lists this long non-coding RNA (649 nucleotides) under Rattus norvegicus (Norway rat). RNAcentral describes it as "long non-coding RNA NONRATT034072". Lineage: Eukaryota; Metazoa; Chordata; Mammalia; Rodentia; Muridae. The record is from RNAcentral.